RNAcentral lists this non-coding RNA (182 nucleotides) under Virgibacillus sp. SK37. RNAcentral's name for it is "Lysine riboswitch aptamer". It matches the Rfam family "Lysine riboswitch aptamer". Rfam says of the family: Riboswitches are metabolite binding domains within certain messenger RNAs that serve as precision sensors for their corresponding targets. Lineage: Bacteria; Bacillati; Bacillota; Bacilli; Caryophanales; Bacillaceae. The record is from Rfam by way of RNAcentral. RNAcentral also lists the same sequence under 1 other name.
CGGUGAGGUAGAGGCGCAAGCAAUAUGAGUAGCCAGCAAGAGAAUGACAACUGUGAUUGUUGGUAGAAGGAUUGUUUGCCGAAGCAUAAUAAGUGUCAACCUUAUUAUAGCUGGUACAUUUUUGAAUAAGAAAUGUACUGUCAUGCAGCAAGACGGAGUGUGCAUGGAGAACUACUGAUCGA